AUACGGAGGGUGCAAGCGUUACUCGGAAUCACUGGGCGUAAAGCGCGCGCAGGCGGCUAUUUAAGUUGGAUGUGAAAGCCUACGGCUCAACCGUAGAACUGCAUCCAAAACUAUUUAGCUAGAGUGGGGGAGAGGAAGAUGGAAUUAGUUGUGUAGGGGUAAAAUCCGUAGAGAUAACUAGGAAUACCAAAAGCGAAGGCAAUCUUCUGGAACACUACUGACGCUGAGGCGCGAAAGCGUGGGGAGCAAACGGGAUUAGAAACCCUAGUAGUCC
This 274-nucleotide ribosomal RNA is filed under the name uncultured bacterium. RNAcentral describes it as "partial 16S ribosomal RNA". It matches the Rfam family "Bacterial small subunit ribosomal RNA", at positions 523 to 796 of the family's 1533-position model. The record is from RNAcentral.